GCAAGUCGAACGCGAACGAAAUCUUCGGAUUUCAAGUAGAGUGGCGCACGGGUGAGUAACACGUGGAUAACCUGCCCUAGAGUCUGGGAUAACACUUCGAAAGAGGUGCUAAUACCGGAUAAGCCCACGCCUUCUUUGGAAGAAGUGGGAAAAGAUUUAUUGCUCUAGGAUGGGUCCGCGGUCCAUUAGCUAGUUGGUGGGGUAAUGGCCUACCAAGGCUGCGAUGGAUAGCUGGUCUGAGAGGAUGAUC
RNAcentral lists this ribosomal RNA (250 nucleotides) under uncultured bacterium. Its description in RNAcentral is "partial 16S ribosomal RNA". It matches the Rfam family "Bacterial small subunit ribosomal RNA", at positions 57 to 305 of the family's 1533-position model. The record is from RNAcentral.